Molecule: ribosomal RNA, 484 nt
Filed under: uncultured bacterium
Lineage: Bacteria
Description: partial 16S ribosomal RNA
Rfam family: Bacterial small subunit ribosomal RNA
Source: RNAcentral
AUUGAACGCUGGCGGCAGGCCUAACACAUGCAAGUCGAGCGGAUGAAGGGAGCUUGCUCCUGGACUCAGCGGCGGACGGGUGAGUAAUGCCUAGGAAUCUGCCUGGUAGUGGGGGAUAACGUCCGGAAACGGGCGCUAAUACCGCAUACGUCCUGAGGGAGAAAGUGGGGGAUCUUCGGACCUCACGCUAUCAGAUGAGCCUAGGUCGGAUUAGCUAGUUGGUGGGGUAAAGGCCUACCAAGGCGACGAUCCGUAACUGGUCUGAGAGGAUGAUCAGUCACACUGGAACUGAGACACGGUCCAGACUCCUACGGGAGGCAGCAGUGGGGAAUAUUGGACAAUGGGCGAAAGCCUGAUCCAGCCAUGCCGCGUGUGUGAAGAAGGUCUUCGGACUGUAAAGCACUUUAAGUUGGGAGGAAGGGCAGUAAGUUAAUACCUUGCUGUUUUGACGUUACCAACAGAAUAAGCACCGGCUAACUUCGUG